UGGGAAAGGAGGUGAUGGUGGACAAUAAAAGAGCCCAGCUGUCUUCAAGGUAAUGCAAUGCAAGUCAGAGGAGUACAGCCCUCGCCUCUCCCCCGAACCUAAAAAUAGCUAGCUUAUCUUACUGC
Molecule: long non-coding RNA, 125 nt
Organism: Balaenoptera ricei (Rice's whale)
Lineage: Eukaryota; Metazoa; Chordata; Mammalia; Artiodactyla; Balaenopteridae
Exons: 3
Source: RefSeq, a predicted model, not a curated record